CAGUCCCACACCUAUAGGAUAUAUAGUGUCCCUGAUGACCUCAGAGUGCUUAAACAACAGCAGGAUUAAGCCUAACGCACUGAGGCAGUCCAGCGUGUCAGGCUCCCUGCCCACGCAGGCAGGGCCACAUGUCCCCGCUGAGCUCCCUCGCCCCGACUGCUCCCUGCGCCUCUGGGUCCCACACAGCGCUGGGACUUAAAAGGGCCAAAGAAGGUACCAGCUGCAGCUCUGUAGACCUCGGUGCUGCUGUUCCCUCUGGAUGAGCCCCAGGAAGGCAUGUUGAGCCUGUUUCAUGAAGGGGGACAUGGGAGUGCAGCUCUGAGUUUCAAGUCUUGGACUGCUGACAGACCCAGGGCCCUGCCUUGCUCUUUGGUGCAAUUUUGCACCGUGCCACAGGCGAUUUGCUCCUCGCCCCUUCCUGUGCAGUGGGUCUUGCUCGAUCUUCCUUCCUGUCAGCGCAGGGCUGCCGCCUAUGCAAAUCAAUAGCUGAACUUUUCUCAAAUUGUGAGUUUAUUGCUAAUGAGGUGGACCACACGGCAUCCACACCCGAGGAGCCAGAGCCACCCGGGACUGGAGGGAUCUCCCCUCCCCAGCUCUGCUCAGGCAAGUGGGGUUGCUCAUUAUUUUGUAUUUUGGUUCUACAAAAAAACCUUAAUUUGUAAAUCCUGUAACAGGUUUUGCUGGCAUUUAGGGAAAUCCUAUUAAUUCUGAGAUGUUGUGCAGAGAGGCUCCCAGAAGGAGGGUGGGCGAGGUGGCACAGCAGCACUGAGGCCA
Molecule: long non-coding RNA, 774 nt
Organism: Athene cunicularia (burrowing owl)
Lineage: Eukaryota; Metazoa; Chordata; Aves; Strigiformes; Strigidae
Exons: 3
Source: RefSeq, a predicted model, not a curated record